GGGGUCGUUACGGAUUCGACAGGUAUUAUUGAGCAUGAAGUGCAACUAGGAUUUGCAAACCUUAAUCUGCUAAAAAAAAUAUAACUGCUAAAAACAGUAAUAAUUACGCAGUAGCUGCCUAAACCCCAGCUCUCGUGAACUAGAUUUUGCUCGCCCAUGGUAAUUUCCAGUUCUCAAAUUAGUGGGAUACGUUGUUAAAUUGUCUAGCUUUAACAAAAGAGAUUUAUAGACUAGCCGUUAACUCAGUUGAGCUGUGUCUGUGUUAAAUGGUUAAAUUAAUGCACAGCCUAUGGUUGUAGACCUUUGUGUAGCAAGAUAUUUGGACGUGGGUUCGACUCCCACCGGCUCCAUAC
This is a non-coding RNA of Streptococcus sp., 353 nucleotides long. It matches the Rfam family "transfer-messenger RNA". From Rfam's summary of the family: Bacterial tmRNA, also known as 10Sa RNA or SsrA, is named for its dual tRNA and mRNA-like properties. Its role is to liberate the mRNA from a stalled ribosome. The record is from Rfam. NCBI's taxonomy places the organism in Bacteria, Bacillati, Bacillota, Bacilli, Lactobacillales, Streptococcaceae.